UUUUUGAGAAAGCAAUCCUACUGGGGGUCUGGCUCUCGAGAUUCGGAGAGCGGUGUCUUCGAUUUUUGAGAAAGUAAUUAUGUUGGGAGUCUGGCUCUCGAGAUUCGGAGGGCGGUGCCUCUUCGAUUUUGGAGCAAGCAAUCUUGUUGGGAGUGUUUUCUCGAAUGUGAGUAAAGGUUGGGCAUGUUUGCUAGUCUACCUUGCCACGAAGCACAGAGGUUGACACACAGGGGCUUUCCAAUU
Molecule: long non-coding RNA, 243 nt
Filed under: Malus domestica (apple)
Lineage: Eukaryota; Viridiplantae; Streptophyta; Magnoliopsida; Rosales; Rosaceae
Description: long non-coding RNA (MDOM_LNC013800)
Source: RNAcentral